GAAAGGACAAGAGAAAUAAGGCCCACUUAAAAUAAGCGCCUUAAUAACUAAUAGAUGAUAUAAUCUUAAUCUACAAAUAUAUACAUAUUAAACCCAGCCCAAAAACAGGGUUC
This 113-nucleotide ribosomal RNA is filed under the name Nyctinomops laticaudatus (broad-eared bat). RNAcentral describes it as "partial 16S ribosomal RNA". Lineage: Eukaryota; Metazoa; Chordata; Mammalia; Chiroptera; Molossidae. The record is from RNAcentral.